GCUAUGCCUCAAUUGAUAAAGUGAACUAAUUGCCUACUUCAAAAGCAGUUUUGCAUGAAAGUAUAUGAAAUGGAUAACCAUCAUCGAAGAACCUCAACUAGCUGUCGGCAACGUGCAGGUUAACCAAGGAAUUUUCGGUGUGUCCUUUAUGGACUGUACUCCAUUUUAGCAUUAUCCUCAAGUUUUACCCGAGAGGCCACGCGAUUGGACCGUCUUCCUUAUAUCUACUGACUUCAUAUAAAUGAAAGUGUACUAAGGACUCGCUGAUCUGCACUACCAGCUCAUGUUCAACGUUACUGAACAACAAAGUAAUCCGACAAUCAGACUGGACCCGGUCAUGUUAGGUACCAAAGGAAAACGAAGAUAUCAUUGGUUCUGUACUGAUGCAUGACAUCGCUCGGAAUGCGGCAAUAAUAAACAAUGGAAGAAAAUACUACAGACGUGUUUAUUAACAAUAAAAUUAUUUUUGUUUUUAUGAAAUAGCGAUUGAAUAAAAAUAUUAGGUAUAUGAGUUUUAUUUAGAGAUGAAAUAAGUCAGA
Molecule: long non-coding RNA, 539 nt
Organism: Leguminivora glycinivorella
Lineage: Eukaryota; Metazoa; Arthropoda; Insecta; Lepidoptera; Tortricidae
Exons: 5
Source: RefSeq, a predicted model, not a curated record